UUUUGUGAUGCCAGCAGCUAGAUCUUGAGCUGAAAAGCACCAUGCUAAAUUAUUGUGCUCCAUCCCCUAGGUGUCGUGGCUGCCUGUCCCCUGUCAGACCCAGCCAGCAUUGUCAACCGUGCCCUGGAGUGCCAGGCUCAUCCGAGACCAGCACUAGCAGAUGAACACAAGAAAGACUUCUGAGUGGUCUUCACAGCUUAUCAAGACCCAGCCACCAGGUUCCAGAUGCUAGCAUGAUGCCUACCAGACUUCCCUGGACAGACAACCCCACCAAUGGGCCUUGGAGCUUCGCUUCCCCAGAGCCCUCCCUACUAGGGAAAGAGAGAGACAGGCUGGGAGUAUGGAUCAACCUGUCAAUGCCCAUGUCAAUGUGGGGAAGCAACUACAGAAGCCAGACCUUCAACCUUCUGUAUCCCACAGUGAUCUUGGGUUCCAUACUCCCAGAGGAUUAAAGAAUAGGAAAGCUAUCAGGGGAGGGGAUGGGAUGGGAUAUGGAGUUCUGGUGGUGGGAAUUGUGCGAAGUUGUACCCCUCUUAUCCUAUG
This is a long non-coding RNA of Erinaceus europaeus (western European hedgehog), 543 nucleotides long. RefSeq lists it as uncharacterized. The transcript has 3 exons. NCBI's taxonomy places the organism in Eukaryota, Metazoa, Chordata, Mammalia, Eulipotyphla, Erinaceidae. The record is from RefSeq and is a predicted model, not a curated record.